UGGUGAAGGUAGGGGAUGUACAAAAAAUACAGGAACCAUCUAGUUUCUACAGUCUUCACAAUAUAAGACUAUCAAAUUGCGACUGUUUGAGGGAUUUGACAUGGAUCGCUUUUAUUCCAAACCUCAAGUUUCUUUCUAUAGACAAUUGUGAUGCGAUGAAAGAAAUCAUUAAUGUUGAAAAAUUGGGUGAAGUUCCAAGGAUGAUGUUAGAUCUAAUCCCUUUUCAGAAACUCCAAUUUCUUUGGUUAUAUAGUCUAAAGAAUUUGAAGAGCAUCUUUGGGAAGGCCUUGCCCUUCCCACAUCUAAAGGAAAUUUAUGUACUUGACUGCCGAAAGCUUAUGAAGCUUCCACUGGAUGCCAAUAGUGCAAAGGAACAUAAAAUUGUUAUCAGGGGACAGGAAGAGUGGUGGAAAAAGUUGCAAUGGGAGGAUGAAGCCACUCUGAAUGCUUUUCUUCCUUGUUUCAAAUCUUUCUGAUAAAGCAAUCACAAUGGUGAAUUUAUGAGGCACUGCAAAAUGCUGUUGAAUGUGGCAUUAGAAGCUCUACUUUGUGGUGCAAACCUGUGGAAGUACAACUAGUAGCCUUUCUUUCAAUGGACGUUCAAAACGAGGCCAUUCAAAAUGAUCAGCUUGAUAAGAGGAAUGCAUGUUGUAUCACAUUUAACCGCCGAGCGGCAAAGCCUGAUACAGCUUUUGGACAGUAUUUGCAUUUUUAUGUGAGUGCUACAGAAGACAAGCUAGACAAUGCAUGCAGCCUUUUGAAGGUCAAGGAUUCGAACCUCCUGGAUCAACUUUAGUGAUACAUUCUGCUUUACCAUCAGUAGUCAGAUUAAUCUUGACAGCAUGUACUCUAAAGUCUGUGUUGUAAAGAUUUUUAAAGAACUAAUUCAAUUCUUCCUUUCUGUGCCCAAGUUUGAUAUUCAAAAUGGGACUGUGUUCCA
Molecule: long non-coding RNA, 940 nt
Organism: Pistacia vera
Lineage: Eukaryota; Viridiplantae; Streptophyta; Magnoliopsida; Sapindales; Anacardiaceae
Exons: 3
Source: RefSeq, a predicted model, not a curated record